Long non-coding RNA from Corticium candelabrum, 1385 nucleotides. RefSeq lists it as uncharacterized. Lineage: Eukaryota; Metazoa; Porifera; Homoscleromorpha; Homosclerophorida; Plakinidae. The transcript has 7 exons. The record is from RefSeq and is a predicted model, not a curated record.
CGCCACCACACCACCUCAUGUUACCACACAUCUUCCUACUAAAUCCAUGUCAGUUCCUCCUGGCCGUUUGUUGUUCUGCAUUUCUCAACUGCUGGUUCGUAUCUCCAAUUUGAUGCGCUUGGCUUCUCUCGUGAAUUCUCGUUGGAGAUGAGUUUUACGGCCACGGGUAGUGAUGGCAUUAUGGUUUAUGCUGAUGAUGUGGACAGUGGGGACUUUGUGGCUUAGUCAUAUGAGGACAGAGUUGUAGUGUUGAGAGUUAAUGAUGGCAGUGGGACUCUGACUGUUUAAUCUGAAGGCAAGAAAUUAUAAUAAAGGUGAACAAUUCAAAGCCGUCGUUUCAAUCAAGAAAUCGACAAUUACACUGAAUGUUGAGAGUCGUAAACGUGCUACGAAAAAUCGAGGCCAAUGAGAGAGGUUCAUACUCACUAAUGUUUUUGUUGGAGGCAUUCCUAGUGAUCAACAGACUAUUGAAGAUGCGCAAGUCGUUCUUGGUUUUCAAGGCUGCGUUCACUUGCUCACCAUCAACGAAAAAGACAUCAACUUGCUGUCUUUUGCAGCAUCGAAUUCCGUGUGUCAGUGUGGUGACAGGCCUCCAGAUGAUAUGUCUACACCAUCUGCUGAGAAAACCACAACAACACAAGCAUCCACAGCUACACAACCACCUCCUCCAUUGGGCAAUCUUUCUUUUGCUGCUGCCUCUUACCUUGCAUUUGAUCCUCCUGAAGACUCGCGGUCAUUUGUACUUGACAUGGAGUUUAUUUUUACUGCGAACGCCCGACUGAUGUUUUAUGUUGCGAAUAAAAAGAGUGGAGAUAUGAUAUCGGCUUUGUACUUGGAGAGACGCAUAAGAGUGAGUGUAAACAAUGGAUCUGCAGCAGUGCAGUUGAUUUCCGGAGGCAGGAAUCUCAAGAAACGCACUAAAUUUCGUUUUACAUUAUCGGUGAAAAGUGGAGCAGUAACACUGAGUGUCAGUCGUUCACGUGAAAGAGCUGAUUAAGAUACGUCCAAAAAGUUCAAGUUUGGUGACAAUCUUACGUUCAUUGGUGGCUUACCAGCUGAUGUGAAGCCACUUUCAAUGUCAUUGCCAUCAGGAAGUAGUGCUGGCUUUGAAGGCUGUGUGUUUUAUGUAUCAGUCAAUUCUGUGGAAUUGGAUUUCACAUCACCACGGAUGUACAAUGGUGUGUCUCAAUGUAAAGAAGAUGGUUAUGAUUCUCAGUGACAUUUUCAUUGAUUUCUUAAUACGAACGCAUGCCCUUUUGGACUUACUAUACACCGAUACUUCUGGCAGUUCAGUAAUUAUUGGGUAUUGAAGAGGCAUGAGUAAGUGACUUAGGUAUUUCUAUUACGUGUAAGAAAAGAUGUGGUGCACUCGUUUCGUAGUGAAG